GAACCGAUAGUUUCCGAUCACAUCGUCCUCCUUCGAGAAUGGCACAGAUGUUGCCAGUUCAUCCGGCCGAAGCUGCGCCGUCGCGAGUUGAGAGUUUGCGGGCGGGAGUUGCUGAAAGAGUUUGAAAGUAGAUGUUCUUGAUCAGGUUCGUCGGAUAUCGCUCCAACCUCUGGAAGUAAUCCGAGUACGACAGCUUCAGGACCUACGGCUUUCGUACACUCGGUUCUUCCAGAGCUGGUGCAAACUGUUCUUCCGGAUGUUUAUGUAAUACUCGUCAAACAUGUCCCGCACCGAGAAAUGGACUGCGGACCCUCAGGCAUCCCACACUGUCCCGUCAUAACUUCCGGCACAUAAUACUGCUGAUGGUCGUAAACCGCCGGCACCGAGUGCAACAUCCGCGCUGACGACCUCCGAUCGCUUCUCCACGUUUCCCUCUUCUGUCGGAUCCUUAUCCUCACCGUUAAAAUUAACUUUACGAAAAAAACGGUGCAAAUUCACAUCCGCAUAAACGGCGUCCUACAAAAACAAACAAAAUCAAACACAAACGCCAUCAAACACCCAAAUUUCCUUCUUACCCAUUUCGGUCGUGAAACAGCUGCAGAUCCGGCAGGAAGCUGGCCUUAUCCUUUUGAAAACCAACUUCCCCUAAUCCCCUAACCUUGUUCCGCACCAUCCUCCUUCGAAGGUAUCCGCGUCCAAGUCCUGGCUGCGGACGCGUUCUGUUUUGAUUGACGUCGUGGACCACCGGGACCACCACUCACUAACCACCGGAAUCACCUAAACGUUUGUUUACAUUUUGGACUUAGACGUACACGGUUUCACGAGAACGACAAAAUGAAAGAAAUUAUACAGUCGAAUUAAAAGUUAAAACUUUUAAAUAAGUUAGCAAUGAGAUUUUCAAAAACUGUAGCAGUAAAAGUUUUCAUUUUCAAAACAAGAAAAAAACUUUUAGUGUAGCAAAUUUUAACCACUUAUUAAUUCAAAAGUAAGUUACUUUUGUCAUUACCAUAAUAUUUUUUUGUGUGU
Culex pipiens pallens (northern house mosquito) is the source of this 1026-nucleotide long non-coding RNA. RefSeq lists it as uncharacterized. NCBI's taxonomy places the organism in Eukaryota, Metazoa, Arthropoda, Insecta, Diptera, Culicidae. The transcript is spliced from 2 exons. The record is from RefSeq and is a predicted model, not a curated record.